Molecule: long non-coding RNA, 603 nt
Organism: Oreochromis aureus
Lineage: Eukaryota; Metazoa; Chordata; Actinopteri; Cichliformes; Cichlidae
Exons: 5
Source: RefSeq, a predicted model, not a curated record
CGGUGGCCCGUACACCCAAUCAGAGCACGACUUUCGAGGGGAAAGUAAUAGUGUUAGCCCUAGCAACAAGUUUUUAGCUGUGAGGGAUUUAUGUCAUGUAUGUCAACAUUACAGAAUGCUGAAAGACUGAUAGCAUUUGAAAUUUUUUUCUAGUCAGGAAAAAAAUGUAGCUCUGUUUUAAAAUUCCUAUCACUACUUUGCUAACAAUAGCAAAGGAGCGAAAUGAGCUAACCUUCGGAGCAGCUUUUCAAAGACUGAAAGGAGCAUUGUCAUCUUGGAUGAAACCACUCCCAUCAAGAUAGAAAUCAUUCAUCCCAGGAUAAAGACGAUCCCUGAAAACAACUUUCUAUUGAUUUGCAGUGCCUCUUUUCUCAACAAGGGAGGAUGAUUUUCAGAGCACAUCCUGUAAAAGCAGAAGAAUAAAAGCAGCGUAUUAUGGAAAAGGAAAGCUGAUUUCGAAUUCCUUUGGAUCCACCACCCCCCUCCAGGAUCCCAGAUUCUCUCCAUCAUCUCCUCCAACCGUGAGGUCUAACCGGCAGGGCAGGGGCGUGUGGGCGGACAUGCUGGGUGCUGGCAGCAUGCUCCGUCUGCUAAAAGAGAUGG